GACGAACGCUGGCGGCGUGCUUAAUACAUGCAAGUCGAACGGAAAGGCCCUGCUUUUGUGGGGUGCUCGAGUGGCGAACGGGUGAGUAACACGUGAGUAGCCUGCCCUUGACUUUGGGAUAACUUCAGGAAACUGGGGCUAAUACCGGAUAGGAGCUCCUGCUGCAUGGUGGGGGUUGGAAAGUUUCGGCGGUUGGGGAUGGACUCGCGGCUUAUCAGCUUGUUGGUGGGGUAGUGGCUUACCAAGGCUUUGACGGGUAGCCGGCCUGAGAGGGUGACCGGCCACAUUGGGACUGAGAUACGGCCCAGACUCCUACGGGAGGCAGCAGUGGGGAAUAUUGCACAAUGGGCGGAAGCCUGAUGCAGCAACGCCGCGUGCGGGAUGACGGCCUUCGGGUUGUAAACCGCUUUCGCCUGUGACGAAGCGUGAGUGACGGUAAUGGGUAAAGAAGCACCGGCUAACUACGUGCCAGCAGCCGCGGUGAUACGUAGGGUGCGAGCGUUGUCCGGAUUUAUUGGGCGUAAAGGGCUCGUAGGUGGUUGAUCGCGUCGGAAGUGUAAUCUUGGGGCUUAACCCUGAGCGUGCUUUCGAUACGGGUUGACUUGAGGAAGGUAGGGGAGAAUGGAAUUCCUGGUGGAGCGGUGGAAUGCGCAGAUAUCAGGAGGAACACCAGUGGCGAAGGCGGUUCUCUGGGCCUUUCCUGACGCUGAGGAGCGAAAGCGUGGGGAGCGAACAGGCUUAGAUACCCUGGUAGUCCACGCUGUAAACGGUGGGUACUAGGUGUGGGGUCCAUUCCACGGGUUCCGUGCCGUAGCUAACGCUUUAAGUACCCCGCCUGGGGAGUACGGCCGCAAGGCUAAAACUCAAAGGAAUUGACGGGGCCCCGCACAAGCGGCGGAGCAUGCGGAUUAGUUCGAUGCAACGCGUAGAACCUUACCUGGGUUUGACAUGGAUCGGGAGUGCUCAGAGAUGGGUGUGCCUCUUUUGGGGUCGGUUCACAGGUGGUGCAUGGCUGUCGUCAGCUCGUGUCGUGAGAUGUUGGGUUAAGUCCCGCAACGAGCGCAACCCUUGUUCACUGUUGCCAGCACGUUAUGGUGGGGACUCAGUGGAGACCGCCGGGGUCAACUCGGAGGAAGGUGGGGAUGACGUCAAGUCAUCAUGCCCCUUAUGUCCAGGGCUUCACGCAUGCUACAAUGGCUGGUACAGAGAGUGGCGAGCCUGUGAGGGUGAGCGAAUCUCGGAAAGCCGGUCUCAGUUCGGAUUGGGGUCUGCAACUCGACCUCAUGAAGUCGGAGUCGCUAGUAAUCGCAGAUCAGCAACGCUGCGGUGAAUACGUUCCCGGGGCU
This 1346-nucleotide ribosomal RNA is filed under the name uncultured bacterium. RNAcentral describes it as "partial 16S ribosomal RNA". It matches the Rfam family "Bacterial small subunit ribosomal RNA", at positions 28 to 1381 of the family's 1533-position model. The record is from RNAcentral.